UAUUGCUUGCCAUUUUCGUCAUAUUUGUGUGUUCUGGAUUUCUAUCUUUUUACAAAAUUGCUAAGAUCAUUCUUUUACAUGAAUCCAGACAGAUAACAGGCAGAAGUGUGAAUUGAAAAAACACACAUUGAAUGGGUAUCAUUCAGGAUGAUCUAAGCAUUAUUGAAUGCUGUGAAAUCUUUAGAUUAUGGCCUGUUUAUCAAUUAAAUUAAUCUAUGUUGAAUGGGUGCUCAAUUCCUGUUUACUGUACAUUUUUAUUGACUGCUUUUUGCACAAUACUGUUUUUUUUUUUUAAGCCAUUAAUGCUCUAUAGCACUUUUCAUACCCUUGUGUUGACUCAGACACUUUAUACGCCAUGAAGUACUUUGAGUGUAGUUACUGUUGUAAUAUGUGACAUAAUUGGUAAUUGGCACACAGUAAGUCCCCACAAACAGCAAUAUGAGAACCAGAUAAUCGUCUGUAGUAAUAUUGUUUACUAAAAAAUACUAGGCAGAUGACUGGGGAUAUUUAUUUUGCUGUUGGAUAAAAUGGUACCACUGGAUGAUUUAAAUCCAUUGCAGAGAGCCGACCAGGCCUAAAAAAACAGCUCCUCCAACAGUGCGGCACUCCUACUGCCAAACACUGAAGUAACAGCCAAGAAUUUUAUGAGGAAAUAUCUGGAGUGAGACUUACUAAUGUGUAGACAUACGCCAAAGCGUACUAACAGACUAGUUAAUCAAAUGCAAGAAAUUUAGUAAAUUGCCACAUUGAAACUACUUGGGCCUUGCAUUGGCAGUUAAUUUAAAAUGGCCAAUCUAUGAAACUGUCAUUUUAAAUAAACGGGGAAAGCAGUAAACAAAUAUUCAGAAAAUACAUACUUCAAGGUUAUACUUUAUUCAUUGUCUUUUAAAUAGUUAAUUAAUCAAUGUUGAGGGUCUAAACACCACCUAAGAGGUGAUUGUGAAUUAUAGUGGCUGUUCAUAGACCAUGCAGUUUUACAUUGUGUAUGUAGUCCACGUAAAUUUUAAAGCCAAAUAAUUAGCAUCUAAGUAAAACAAUUCAAUGCAAUACCCCUCUGUGACCUUGUUCAAUAUCUGAUUGUAUUUCAAGUUUACUUGUAAAACUGAAGAGACAAGUAAAAUUAAUUUCAGAUAAAGUUCACUUUGAGCAUCUCUUUACACAGUGAGACUAUCUGUAUUUGAGAGGCGGGUGAGGUAGGUUGAGCUCUUUAUACAGUGAGGACAUCUUCCUCAUAUUUAAACUUUGAACAUGUUAUGCGCAGGAUAAAAAUCUAUUUAUGACCCUGUGUUGGCCUUGGCAUAUAGUCUUGGCAUUUGAACUGUCUCUGUUGACCCAAGCAUUUGAGCACCUUAUCUAAGGUGACACGGUCUGAAAGAAUGCCGCACUCUUGAAACUAAUGUUCCUUGGAAUUGCCCUAAAUUUAUACUACAUAGUAAUCCCUCAACUAACAGCUAAAGCUGUUGUUUGUUCAUUUAUUCAUUGAUAGAACUAUACUGAUUAGCAACGUCUGAAGAAGGGUCUCGACCCGAAAUGUCACCUAUUCCUUCGCUCCAUAAAUGCUGCCUCAACCGCUGAGUUUCUCCAGCAUUUUUGUCUACCUUCGAUUUUUCCAGCAUCUGCAGUUCUUUCUUAACGUAUUUAACGCAACAAUAGCGAGUACACUUUAAAAGUAUUUAAAUUAUUAUGGAAACUGUUCAGAGCACAGAUUGAGUAGAUUGCAUUCAUCAUUGUUUGGUAGAUGAUCUAAACAUCCCUAUUUUCAUUAAUAAUAGAAAAGUGCUGGAAUUGUGUCCUUAAAAUCUGAUCUGAAACAUUAAUAUUAACAUUUUCUCUGUGUAGACAUGUUCUCUAACCUGCUGAGUGUUUCCAGCAUUUUCUGUGUUUACUUCAGAUUUCCUGCAUCAGCAUGUUUUUUUUGUUUUCACCCUCAAUUGCUUGCUGCAGUGGACAGGUUUCAGCACAUAAAUGUAUUAAUAUAAACUCUUGGACUUAAAUCAGGAGUCAGGUUUAGUCCGAGACGUGCAUUUCCAGGAAUUAAUUGCAAGGAUUUAAACAAAAUAUUUAGAUUGAAAAUUGUGACCAACUACAACAGUUUCCUUGCUACUGCUGCUGCUUCUCUCUCUGCCCCACCUCGGUCCAACAUGCUCACUCUUUGUUAUGAGCAUACUGGGAAGCCAUUAAUUGAGCUAAAUUUCACACUGAAUGUCUGAAACAAUAGGUUCCUCUCCAUAAUGGAGUCAAACCCCAUGUUUAUGUUAUUCCCCAAAUCCUCUCCCAAUGCUAUCAAACCCCAGAAGCUCUUCUCUCCAACCAUGCAACCCAAUCUCCCUAGGUCAGCUAAAUAGCCGUCAACUGCUACGAAAUAAUAAAAUAAAAACGUGUUUGCUUUAUUUUAAAAUGACCAGAAAUAUAACUGAUUAACACAUUUCCGGUUUUCUCUUGCACUCAAUUGCUUUAAAAUCAUGGAAGUUAAUCCUCUGUCAGAGUCAGAGUACUUUGCAUUAAGACUAAAUGUUGAAUUAAGAGCUGUGAGAACUAAGAAUUAAGAACUGUGAAUCUGUAAUCCUGGUGAUCUGCCUUGCAUGACAAAAGUACCCCUAUCAGAAAUAUUUAUUCAACAUGGGUCAUGAAAAACAUGCUGGUGGCAUAUUAUGUUAGUAUAUUAGAUUGUUUUUUUGCCUUAUUUUAGUUAAUCCUUCUCAUUUUGCCUCACUGACUUUCCCAGCCAUUUGUGCCCAAUUUUACAUUGUUUCCAACAAAAGAAGAUAGAUACUAUCGAUCAAUUUAUAAUUUAUAACCUUAAUAUAAGAUUUUAGAUGAUGCUUUAACAUUAAAAUUGGAAAAUGUCAUUUGAUCUAUAAUUACCAUGUUCCCAAGGAAUUCAAAGCCAUGGUCAACAUGUACAAAAGGAUGCAGUGACAUUUGUGAAGCAGGUCAAGUUUGUGCUCAGAUGAGCAAGUAGGCAACAUGCAGGAGUAUCUGUACUCUUGCUUUCAGAUUAUUUUUGCCAAUGAAACAUUAUAUAAAUAUUUUGAGCACAAAAUUCCCAUACGGACAUCUGUGAUAUUGGACUGACUUAAAACCCGGCACGUUGGCUGUUUAUUUAUCA
This is a long non-coding RNA of Amblyraja radiata (thorny skate), 3109 nucleotides long. RefSeq lists it as uncharacterized. NCBI's taxonomy places the organism in Eukaryota, Metazoa, Chordata, Chondrichthyes, Rajiformes, Rajidae. The record is from RefSeq and is a predicted model, not a curated record. The transcript is spliced from 2 exons.